UCAUUGCAGGAAACUCCACUGCUUGAUUGUGGGAAACGUGUUCAAAGGAACAAAACCAACUAUUAUCAAUUCAUUUACUAUGAUUAUAUUGACCCUUAGAAGGAUGAUGAAAAUAAAGGUGACAAUAGAGAUGAAACAAUCUGUCUAUAGCCUAUGUGGCAAGUAUACCUUUUUAUUGAGGUUCUACCAAGCCAAAGUGUUCUAUCCUGUGUCGAAACAUGUCUGACUAUGGAUUACUGGCAGGGCUCUCCAUCUCCCGGGAUCGCCACAUAGCAGAGAUAAGACAGAUCCAACAUCAUUUAAUAAUCUCCAUGCAUCUCCCUCAAGGGACCCCUGAGAGACAAAGAGCGAGCUGAAAUGGCCCUGUCCGGCUGAGCACACUGCUGCUGAGUGCACCCUCGGUCUCAGCCUUCCUCUACCCUGACUCCCCCCUCCCUCUCAUCUCUCGUUCUCACCACGAGAGCCGUGUUUUUUAGUGUGGGGGGGUGUAUCAAUAGUCUAAAGUGGCUUCCUUUCCUACCCAGUUCAUUCACCUCCCCCUUAUGAUACCAAUGAAAGGAGAUUGGGAAAGGAGAUAAGGAGAGAGGACUAUUUGGACACAACCUGAGCUCCCAUCUCUAAGAUCUCAAACUCCUUGUCCUCAUUUUGAAACCCCCCUUUUUAAAUAUUCAGUCUCUCUGACUGUGAAGUCUAAUUAGUAGUGGGAAAUGGGGAAAUGACUUCCGAAUAUUCUGACACCCUAUACUAAAAUUCUUACUAGAUAAUUGGUAGCUGUAUAAUCAAGUGGGAUGAAAACUUACAUGCAGUAUCUACAUUCCAAUUGAGUUCUACUGGAUGAAACAUAUUUGUCAGAGAGUGAUUAUUGUUUAAUUUUGAUAAGACCAUUAUUAAAGAGUUUUUGUUCAAAUAAAGACAUUCAGAUUUAGAGAUGACCUGUAGGAUAGGAAAGUAGCAGAGCUGCAUAUCACCACAAGUGGCCUACAGAAAU
This is a long non-coding RNA of Salvelinus fontinalis (brook trout), 988 nucleotides long. RefSeq lists it as uncharacterized. The transcript is spliced from 3 exons. The record is from RefSeq and is a predicted model, not a curated record. Lineage: Eukaryota; Metazoa; Chordata; Actinopteri; Salmoniformes; Salmonidae.